AUACAUAUAAAAACGAGAGAAGAUUAGUACUCUCCUUGAUAAGGACGGAAGAGACCUUCAUGGCCAUUAUGAUAUGUAUUGAGGCACAUCCUCUUUUUUCGAGGACACCUCAUAUUUUUUU
Small nuclear RNA from Mya arenaria, 121 nucleotides. The record is from RefSeq and is a predicted model, not a curated record. NCBI's taxonomy places the organism in Eukaryota, Metazoa, Mollusca, Bivalvia, Myida, Myidae.